CGGACUAUGUGGGGGAGGGGGGCUAUAUUAGAUGGAAUACCCCAGUGUGCUGCAACAACUUUUAAAAUUUGUACAUAUGUUUUUAAGGCACAAUAUGUGAUGGAGUUUGAUAUGAUGAUCAGCACAACCUCAAGGUCUUGACUGAAUGAACAACUUAUCUGAUAUACUCCUAGUUCCAAUACUUUGCUGUAUAUUAUCACCAGCUCACAUGUCUGUUGGAUCACUUUGAAUGAUCAACAUUGGAGUGUGCACAAUAAAGUGUCUGUAUUAGGGAGGAGUCUAUAAGGACUGAAGUAAAAGGCACACUUUUGGAUAUUUGAAUCAUAGCAACUACAUAUACUGUUGAACGGCUACUGUAGGUUUCAAAUAAGUUUGAACAAUGAGCAACUGAAAAUAAAGAUUUAUUUAAUUUAAUUUGAAAC
Paramuricea clavata is the source of this 422-nucleotide non-coding RNA. The record is from the annotation of a GenBank genome assembly. Lineage: Eukaryota; Metazoa; Cnidaria; Anthozoa; Malacalcyonacea; Plexauridae.